AAGUCGAGCGGAAACGAAGAGGUGCUUGCACCUCUGGCGUCGAGCGGCGGACGGGUGAGUAAUGCUUGGGAAUAUGCCUUAUGGUGGGGGACAACAGUUGGAAACCACUGCUAAUACCGCAUGAUGUCUACGGACCAAAGUGGGGGACCUUCGGGCCUCACGCCAUAAGAUUAGCCCAAGUGGGAUUAGCUAGUUGGUGAGGUAAUGGCUCACCAAGGCGACGAUCCCUAGCUGGUUUGAGAGGAUGAUCAGCCACACUGGGACUGAGACACGGCCCAGACUCCUACGGGAGGCAGCAGUGGGGAAUAUUGCACAAUGGGCGCAAGCCUGAUGCAGCCAUGCCGCGUGUGUGAAGAAGGCCUUCGGGUUGUAAAGCACUUUCAGUAAGGAGGAAAGGUUAAGUGUUAAUAGCACUUAGCUGUGACGUUACUUACAGAAGAAGCACCGGCUAACUCCGUGCCAGCAGCCGCGGUAAUACGGAGGGUGCGAGCGUUAAUCGGAAUUACUGGGCGUAAAGCGUACGCAGGCGGUUUGUUAAGCGAGAUGUGAAAGCCCCGGGCUCAACC
This 566-nucleotide ribosomal RNA is filed under the name uncultured bacterium. Its description in RNAcentral is "bacterial SSU rRNA". It matches the Rfam family "Bacterial small subunit ribosomal RNA", at positions 59 to 614 of the family's 1533-position model. The record is from RNAcentral.